This is a long non-coding RNA of Nyctereutes procyonoides (raccoon dog), 395 nucleotides long. RefSeq lists it as uncharacterized. The record is from RefSeq and is a predicted model, not a curated record. The transcript is spliced from 2 exons. Lineage: Eukaryota; Metazoa; Chordata; Mammalia; Carnivora; Canidae.
GACCGGGAGAAAAUCUGGCCAGUGAAAAAUUUGAAUCAGACAAAAGUGGGCCACUUAAUUCUGCAUGAAUACACUUGAGAGUGAAUAUGCUCUGAUUCUCCAAGCAAGAUGGCUCUUCACAAUACUUGGCUUUGUUAAAACCAUGUCUGCUGACACUUGGACUCUCUCCAGUUACCUGGCAUCUGAAAUUAUACCUUUAGUGAUUCACUCCUUUGAACUAAACACAGAUGUCUUCAGGUAUCCUCUUUUGAAGAACAAGCACCCUUGGGAAGAUUUAGCACAAAAUAACAAGUUUAGCUGACUAAAAAGACCAGGUGUCUAAUCGACUUGGCUGGUUGUACUGACAGAUAUUUGAUAUGACAUCAAUUGACUAAACUGACGGGAAUUUGAAUGAG